GAUGAACGCUAGCGGCAGGCUUAAUACAUGCAAGUCGAGGGGUAACACGGGUAGCAAUAUCUGGUGACGACCGGCAAACGGGUGCGGAACACGUACAGAACCUUCCUUUAAGCGGGGGAUAGCCCAUAGAAAUGUGGAUUAAUACCCCAUAGUAAUAUUGUCUGGCAUCAGAUGAUAUUUAAAGAUUUAUCACUUAAAGAUGGCUGUGCGGCUGAUUAGGUAGUUGGUGCGGGUAACGGCCCACCAAGCCAGCGAUCAGUAACUGGUGUGAGAGCACGACCAGUCACACGGGCACUGAGACACGGGCCCGACUCCGUACGGGAGGCAGCAGUAAGGAAUAUUGGUCAAUGGACGCAAG
RNAcentral lists this ribosomal RNA (358 nucleotides) under uncultured bacterium. RNAcentral's name for it is "bacterial SSU rRNA". It matches the Rfam family "Bacterial small subunit ribosomal RNA", at positions 28 to 381 of the family's 1533-position model. The record is from RNAcentral.